This 421-nucleotide ribosomal RNA is filed under the name uncultured bacterium. RNAcentral describes it as "bacterial SSU rRNA". It matches the Rfam family "Bacterial small subunit ribosomal RNA", at positions 364 to 776 of the family's 1533-position model. The record is from RNAcentral.
GUUCGCAAUGGGCGCAAGCCUGACGACGCAACGCCGCGUGGAGGAUGAAGACCUUCGGGUCGUAAACUCCUUUCGACCGAGAAGAAUGGCUUCCGACCUAAUACGUCGGGAGCAUGACGGUAUCGAGGGAAGAAGCCCCGGCUAACUCUGUGCCAGCAGCCGCGGUAAUACAGGGGGGGCAAGCGUUGUUCGGAAUUACUGGGCGUAAAGGGUUCGUAGGUGGCCAACUAAGUCGGACGUGAAAUCCCUCAGCUUAACUGGGGAACUGCGUCCGAUACUGGAUGGCUUGAGUGCAGGAGAGGAACGCGGAAUUCCAGGUGUAGCGGUGAAAUGCGUAGAUAUCUGGAGGAACACCGGUGGCGAAGGCGGCGUUCUGGACUGUAACUGACACUGAGGAACGAAAGCCAGGGGAGCAAACGGG